RNAcentral lists this non-coding RNA (114 nucleotides) under uncultured Luteimonas sp. RNAcentral describes it as "Moco (molybdenum cofactor) riboswitch". It matches the Rfam family "Molybdenum/Tungsten riboswitch aptamer (Moco RNA motif)", at positions 13 to 119 of the family's 135-position model. The record is from RNAcentral. Lineage: Bacteria; Pseudomonadati; Pseudomonadota; Gammaproteobacteria; Lysobacterales; Lysobacteraceae.
ACUCCAAGCCCGGCCGCCUGUGUCCAUCCGGAUAUGGCGACCGGGCCGUGGCCUCCGGGCCACCGGGUCGGACUGGAAACGGGCCGGCCUCCCCGUAUCGGAAUGGAGCACAUC